RNAcentral lists this small RNA (37 nucleotides) under Arabidopsis thaliana (thale cress). Its description in RNAcentral is "ATSL190010". Lineage: Eukaryota; Viridiplantae; Streptophyta; Magnoliopsida; Brassicales; Brassicaceae. The record is from RNAcentral.
UCGCUUCUUCUUCUUCUUCUUCGUCUUCUUCAGUUUC